This 254-nucleotide ribosomal RNA is filed under the name uncultured bacterium. Its description in RNAcentral is "partial 16S ribosomal RNA". It matches the Rfam family "Bacterial small subunit ribosomal RNA", at positions 524 to 776 of the family's 1533-position model. The record is from RNAcentral.
UACGGGGGGGGCAAGCGUUGUUCGGAAUUACUGGGCGUAAGGGGCUCGUAGGUGGCCAACUAAGUCAGACGUGAAAUCCCCAGGCUCAACUUGGGAACUGCGUCUGAUACUGGAUGGCUUGAAUUCGGGAGAGGGAUGCAGAAUUCCAGGUGUAGCGGUGAAAUGCGUAGAUAUCUGGAGGAACACCGGUGGCGAAGGCGGCAUCCUGGACCAACACUGACGCUGAGUGAGCGAAAGCCAGGGGAGCAAACGGG